RNAcentral lists this ribosomal RNA (468 nucleotides) under Triticum aestivum (bread wheat). RNAcentral describes it as "partial small subunit ribosomal RNA". The record is from RNAcentral. Lineage: Eukaryota; Viridiplantae; Streptophyta; Magnoliopsida; Poales; Poaceae.
AUGGUCGUCGUCUCCUCCUGCGGCUGCAUCAACACGCGCCGCAUCGACGACCUCCUCCCGCUCCUGCUCCCCUGCGUGGGCGAGCAAACCUCCGACCCCCGAAUCUCUUCGGCUUCCUCCCGCGCCCGCUCCGACGGCGCAGCCGCGGACGCGGAGGAGAACGAGCCCGAGGCGUCCGCGGGGAGGAGCACGCAGGUGCUGCUCGCCGCGGCAGCAAGUGGCGGGCGCGGCGGCCCCUACGGCCGCCGCCCGUCGUCCUCCCAUGGAAGCUGCGCCCCCUGGAACGCCGGCCCCCUCAUCGCGCACCGCCCGGCGACCCCGUCGCCCGUAUGCUGCCCCGUCGUCGCGUCACAGCAGGAACAAGAGCAAGGGAGGUUACCAAUGAGAGCCACUGAUGCUGUCAAUGAAUGGAGAUUGCCUAAAGUAAGUGAAGAGGAAGAUGACGCAGUAGAUCAGAAGGACUGUUAG